Molecule: ribosomal RNA, 273 nt
Filed under: uncultured bacterium
Lineage: Bacteria
Description: partial 16S ribosomal RNA
Rfam family: Bacterial small subunit ribosomal RNA
Source: RNAcentral
UACGGAGGGGGCAAGAGUUGUCCGGAUUCACUGGGUGUAAAGGGCGCGUAGGCGGGUUAGCAAGUCAGAGGUGAAAUCUCCCGGCUCAACCGGGAAACUGCCUUUGAAACUGUUAAUCUUGAGUGCGGAAGAGAGAGACGGAAUUCCAGGUGUAGCGGUGAAAUGCGUAGAUAUCUGGAGGAACACCGGUUGCGAAGGCGGUCUCUUGGUCCGUAACGGACGCUCAGGCGAGAAAGCGUGGGUAGCAAACAGGCGGCGAUAACCGCGUAGUCC